CCCAGAUCGUCCCGCCCCGCCCCGCCCCGAACCCUCGAUCGCCGCGGCAGAACACCGGCGAUCUGGAAGUAUUGCACUGCCCCGCUCCACCCCGUGGCCGACGACGGACGGCCGUGCCGCGCAGCUUCUCCGCGCCGCCACCAGCGACGGCCGACAGACAGUGACCUAGAAGUUAGGCUACACUGAAUCUGUGCUAAGUUUAUAAGCACUGAGGGUGUUGAAGACAAAGAUGCUGAAGAACGUCUUGAGCCAGUCAUGGAGGAGGGGGCACAUGUGCUACGGGAAGGGCAUCCAGCUGAAGCACUAUAUGCUUGUUCAAGUCGAUUUCACAGCGGGCAGGAUUACUCUUGGUUGGUUUGUCGGUAGGGGAUCCUUGGUCAGGAGUCAAUGCUCUAUCGUUUAAAAGUGUUGUUUGGCCGGAAUCGGAGAUGAACAUGGGUAGUUGGUAGUAAUAGCAGGAAGAUAUUCCUUACUUAUUUUUUUCUUUCAAAAUGCCUUCUAAACAUAAAUGCUGCCAUGGUAACUUCUUAGAUGGCAGGUCACUUAUCUUGUUUUUUCAUGA
Molecule: long non-coding RNA, 562 nt
Organism: Lolium rigidum
Lineage: Eukaryota; Viridiplantae; Streptophyta; Magnoliopsida; Poales; Poaceae
Exons: 4
Source: RefSeq, a predicted model, not a curated record